RNAcentral lists this transfer RNA (128 nucleotides) under Colletotrichum higginsianum. RNAcentral's name for it is "tRNA CH063_16241". It matches the Rfam family "tRNA". Rfam says of the family: Transfer RNA (tRNA) molecules are approximately 80 nucleotides in length. Their secondary structure includes four short double-helical elements and three loops (D, anti-codon, and T loops). Lineage: Eukaryota; Fungi; Ascomycota; Sordariomycetes; Glomerellales; Glomerellaceae. The record is from Rfam by way of RNAcentral. RNAcentral also lists the same sequence under 1 other name.
GGCAACUUGGCCGAGCGGUCUAAGGCGCCAGACUCAAGAUAACGGCGCUCCAACGCCUACGUCUUCCCUGUUGAUCAGGGAGCAUUCUGGUCUCGAAAGAGGCGUGAGUUCGAAUCUCACAGUUGUCA